This 209-nucleotide unclassified non-coding RNA is filed under the name soil metagenome. Its description in RNAcentral is "partial contains 5.8S ribosomal RNA, internal transcribed spacer 2, and large subunit ribosomal RNA". The record is from RNAcentral.
AACCAUAGAAACCUGCGGAGUACCUGCGGAAGGAUCAUUACCGAGUUAUACAACUCAUCAACCCCUGUGAACUUACCUACAACGUUGCUUCGGCGGGAACAGACGGCCCCGUAAAACGGGCCGCCCCCGCCAGAGGACCCCUAACUCUGUUUCUAUAAUGUUUUUCUGAGUAAACAAGCAAAUAAAUUAAAACUUUCAACAAUGGAUCU